GGGGCCGUAGCUCAGCUGGGAGAGCGCUUGAAUGGCAUUCAAGAGGUCAGCGGUUCGAUCCCGCUCGGCUCCA
RNAcentral lists this transfer RNA (73 nucleotides) under Acidobacteriota bacterium. RNAcentral's name for it is "Acidobacteria bacterium tRNA-Ala". It matches the Rfam family "tRNA". From Rfam's summary of the family: Transfer RNA (tRNA) molecules are approximately 80 nucleotides in length. Their secondary structure includes four short double-helical elements and three loops (D, anti-codon, and T loops). Further hydrogen bonds mediate the characteristic L-shaped molecular structure. tRNAs have two regions of fundamental functional importance: the anti-codon, which is responsible for specific mRNA codon recognition, and the 3' end, to which the tRNAs corresponding amino acid is attached (by aminoacyl-tRNA synthetases). tRNAs cope with the degeneracy of the genetic code in two manners: having more than one tRNA (with a specific anti-codon) for a particular amino acid; and 'wobble' base-pairing, i.e. permitting non-standard base-pairing at the 3rd anti-codon position. The record is from RNAcentral. RNAcentral also lists the same sequence under 4 other names. Lineage: Bacteria; Pseudomonadati; Acidobacteriota.